UCAUCCCCUGUUCAACAGUGUUCCCAGCCCCGCCCCUGAGCGUCGCUCGAGUUUUUCCCGUUCUGAGCGCUCCCGAGCAUCCUGCGAGCUCCCCCUUUUUCGUUCUCUCCUUCUCCUCCGUCUCUCCCACUUCUCUCUUCUGAGUUUCCCCCUCGCCUUCUCUUCUUCCCUCGCCCCCGUCUCUCCCCCUUCUCUCUUCCGAGCCUCCCCCAGAAAAACACUUGGGGAAAAUUAGAGGAAAUGGAUAAUAGUUUUCGGCAAUUCCGGAAAUGAUUUUCUUGCCCGUCAACGCUGCCCACUUCUUGAUCCUGGACUCUCACCCCACCGCCUUGUCCUUCCAUCGACGACGACCCUGCGUGGCUGCGUCAGAAGGUGCUGCCGAGGAGGUCGCUGUGACCUCCAUUGCUGCUGAAGAUGCUACUUCAGAAAUUUUUCAUUCCUGCAAGAAAAUGCAGGCAAAGGUCGUCGAUUGAGCAGUAGAAGUUCGCUUUAUGAUCAGCUGCUGCUAUGAAUUUGCUGCAGGAUUCUGCUCCACCGGACUUGGUUCUUGCAUUCUACCACGAACUUAACUGUCCUACAAUCUUUGAUUUCCAUCUCACAAAAUUUCUCAAUCCAACUCCAGCCCCAACCCGGACUUUGACAGCACCAAGCUCCUCUCUAAGGAUCCUGUACUCUGAUACCCAACGCCAAGUGCUUGUUCUAUGAUGUUGAGCUUCAGGGAUUUCAGUUUGUUGCUUAAGCUGCCUUUGUGUAUAAUCAACUUAUAAGUUGUUAUUUACUUGUACGUUGGGAAUUCAUAGCCAUAAUGGCAUUCAAGGAUGUGGGUAUCCCAUGGGAGUUGCAGGACGUUAUGGAGGAGGAGGUGGUGGAGCUCAUUUUGGUGGAUAUGGCUUCAGUAAUGCUGCUUACUAACCACAUCCAAUGACCAUGAUGAGCAGCAUCAACAGCAGGCCGAACCAGAACCACAACCAAGUGCUGAAUGAGAGAUACAUGCAGAUGAUGUACAGCAGGUCUCCUCUCACCCCACUUGCUACCACUUCCUACCUAUUUGUUCAGUGAUGAUAACAUCAGCAGUUGUGCCAUCAUGCGAAGGGAAAGAAAAAAAAAAAAAAACAAAGAAACAAACAUGGUGUUUUUGUCUACCGUGUUUAGAAUAUAGGAGAUAAGGUCUUAUUAAGCGUUUCCCUUUCCUUUUUUUUUUUUUUUUUAUUUCAGUCCUUUGUUGAGUGAUCUAUGGUGUUCUCAUUGCUUGCACUCCAUCUUCUUCGGCAGAAGAUGAAAUAUCAUGUUACCAUAUUGGAGAAAUGGGCAGAGCAACAAAAUCUCCAUGUGAUGUCCACGUUGAAAAACAAAAAGCACUUGUGGAUAUAGUUCUGGCCAAAUGCGUUGGAACGAUAUAGUUGGCAGACAUUUUGAAAAAUGUAGUAAUAGUAGCCUAUGCUAGGUGUUGCUGUAACAACGAUGUAUCAUGGAUUGAGCUCUAUAAUAUAGACUUCUUGCUGCUUGUUUUGUUUA
Long non-coding RNA from Nymphaea colorata (pocket water lily), 1515 nucleotides. RefSeq lists it as uncharacterized. The record is from RefSeq and is a predicted model, not a curated record. The transcript has 3 exons. NCBI's taxonomy places the organism in Eukaryota, Viridiplantae, Streptophyta, Magnoliopsida, Nymphaeales, Nymphaeaceae.